RNAcentral lists this ribosomal RNA (253 nucleotides) under uncultured bacterium. RNAcentral's name for it is "partial 16S ribosomal RNA". It matches the Rfam family "Bacterial small subunit ribosomal RNA", at positions 524 to 776 of the family's 1533-position model. The record is from RNAcentral.
UACGGAGGGUGCAAACGUUGCUCGGAAUCAUUGGGCGUAAAGCGCACGUAGGCGGUCCGUUAUGUCGGGUGUGAAAGCCCUCGGCUUAACCGAGGAAGUGCAUUCGAAACUGGCGGACUUGAGUACCGGAGAGGGUCGCGGAAUUCCCGGUGUAGAGGUGAAAUUCGUAGAUAUCGGGAGGAACACCGGUGGCGAAGGCGGCGACCUGGGUCGAUACUGACGCUGAGGUGCGAAAGCGUGGGGAGCAAACAGG